GACGAACGCUGGCGGCGUGCUUAACACAUGCAAGUCGAACGGAAAGGCCCUGCUUGCAGGGUUCUCGAUUGGCGAACGGGUGAGUAACACGUGGUUGAUCUGCCCCUUACUUUGGGAUACGCCUGGGAAACUGGGUCUAAUACUGGCUAGGACCAUGCUGUAGGUGGUGUGGUGGAAAGAUUAGUUUCGGUAAGGGAUGGGCUCGCGGCCUAGCAGCGUGUUGGUGGGGUAAUGGCCUACCAAGGCGUCGACGGGUAGCCGGCCUGAGAGGGUGGACGGCCACAUUGGGACUGAGAUACGGCCCAGACUCCUACGGGAGGCAGCAGUGGGGAAUAUUGCACAAUGGGCGCAAGCCUGAUGCAGCGACGCCGCGUGGGGGAUGACGGCCUUCGGGUUGUAAACUCCUUUCAGCCGUGACGAAGCCCUUGUGGUGACGGUAGUGGUAGAAGAAGCACCGGCUAACUACGUG
Molecule: ribosomal RNA, 469 nt
Filed under: uncultured bacterium
Lineage: Bacteria
Description: partial 16S ribosomal RNA
Rfam family: Bacterial small subunit ribosomal RNA
Source: RNAcentral